UACGUAGGGAGCAAGCGUUGUCCGGAAUCAUUGGGCGUAAAGCGCGCGUAGGUGGCUUCGUAAGUCCGUUGUGAAAGUCAAAGGCUCAACCUUUGAAAGCCGAUGGAUACUGCGGAGCUAGAGUACGGAAGAGGCGAGUGGAAUUCCUGGUGUAGCGGUGGAAUGCGCAGAUAUCAGGAGGAACACCAAUAGCGAAGGCAGCUCGCUGGGACGUUACUGACACUGAGGCGCGACAGCGUGGGGAGCAAACAGG
RNAcentral lists this ribosomal RNA (253 nucleotides) under uncultured bacterium. RNAcentral's name for it is "partial 16S ribosomal RNA". It matches the Rfam family "Bacterial small subunit ribosomal RNA", at positions 524 to 776 of the family's 1533-position model. The record is from RNAcentral.